This 392-nucleotide ribosomal RNA is filed under the name uncultured Gammaproteobacteria bacterium. Its description in RNAcentral is "bacterial SSU rRNA". It matches the Rfam family "Bacterial small subunit ribosomal RNA", at positions 370 to 779 of the family's 1533-position model. The record is from RNAcentral. Lineage: Bacteria; Pseudomonadati; Pseudomonadota; Gammaproteobacteria.
AAUGGGCGAAAGCCUGAUCUAGCCAUGCCGCGUGAGUGAUGAAGGCCCUAGGGUCGUAAAGCUCUUUCAACUGUGAAGAUAAUGACGGUAGCAGUAGAAGAAACCCCGGCUAACUCCGUGCCAGCAGCCGCGGUAAUACGGAGGGGGUUAGCGUUGUUCGGAGUUACUGGGCGUAAAGCGUACGUAGGCGGAUUAAUAAGUUAGAGGUGAAAUCCCAGGGCUCAACCCUGGAACUGCCUUUAAAACUGUUAGUCUUGAGAUCGAGAGAGGUGAGUGGAAUUCCAAGUGUAGAGGUGAAAUUCGUAGAUAUUUGGAGGAACACCAGUGGCGAAGGCGGCUCACUGGCUCGAUACUGACGCUGAGGUACGAAAGUGUGGGGAGCAAACAGGAUU